UGGGGCUAAUGCUCCAUAGUGGAUAUGUCCUGGAAUGGUAUAUCCUCGAAAGAUCCGUCGCCUUAGGAUGGGACUGCGUCCGAUUAGGUUGUUGGCGGGGUAACGGCCCACCAAGCCUUUUAUCGGUACGGGUUGUGGGAGCAAGAUCCCGGAGAUGGAUUCUGAGACAUGAAUCCAGGCCCUACGGGGCGCAGCAGGCGCGCAAACUUUACAAUGCGAGCAAUCGUGAUAAGGAAACCCUGAGUGCCUGUCGAUGCAGGCUGUUCAUAUAUCUAAAUCAUAUGUGAAGAAAGGGCAGGGCAAGACCGGUGCCAGCCGCCGCGGUAAUACCGGCUGCUCGAGUGAUGGCCACUAUUACUGGGUUUAAAGCGUCCGUAGCUUGACUGUUAGGUCUCUUGGGAAAUCUUCGCGCUCAACGUGAAGGCGUCUAAGAGAUACCGGCAGUCUUGGAACUGGGAGAGGUAAACCGUACUUCGGGGGUAGGAGUGAAAUCUUGUAAUCCUCGAGGGACGACCUAUGGCGAAGGCAGUUUACCAGAACAGCUUCGACAGUGAGGGACGAAAGCUGGGGGAGCAAACGGGAUUAGAUACCCCGGUAGUCCCAGCCGUAAACAAUGUGCGUUAGGUGUGUCGGUAACCACGUGUUACUGAUGCGCCGAAGAGAAAUCGUGAAACGCACCACCUGGGAAGUACGGUCGCAAGGCUGAAACUUAAAGGAAUUGGCGGGGGAGCACCACAACAGGUGGAGCCUGCGGUUUAAUU
RNAcentral lists this ribosomal RNA (761 nucleotides) under uncultured Methanocorpusculum sp. Its description in RNAcentral is "bacterial SSU rRNA". It matches the Rfam family "Archaeal small subunit ribosomal RNA", at positions 141 to 907 of the family's 1478-position model. The record is from RNAcentral. Lineage: Archaea; Methanobacteriati; Methanobacteriota; Methanomicrobia; Methanomicrobiales; Methanocorpusculaceae.